Molecule: transfer RNA, 71 nt
Filed under: Lamprocoris sp. HL-2012
Lineage: Eukaryota; Metazoa; Arthropoda; Insecta; Hemiptera; Scutelleridae
Description: tRNA-Ser
Source: RNAcentral
AAGAGAAUGUUAUACACUAAAAGAAGCUGCUAACUAUCUUUUAAAGCGGUUUAAAUCCGUUUAUUCUCUUA